GAACCAGCCACCCCGGGAAGCCAGCUUGGUCUUGCUCUCCACCGGGGCCCUAUCCCCAACUCUUACCAAAUGCAGGUGCCAUGACCAGAAAAGGAUUUCGUACAAGCUCCCAGCCCCUCUGGAUGGUGUUGGCAGUCCAUUCUCCACUGCUGUGAUGAGGAAAGAUAAAUUGGCAAGCUGGAAACCAUGGACCAUUAACGAAGCACUCAAGGCAAGGACUUAGCCCUUUGGCAGACCUCCUGGCAUUCUCUCCCACACACGGUGUUGUGGCCAUUCAAAGUGAUACUUGUGGACUGGAACCUGCAGCCAUGCCCAAGCCAUAGGGAAAGGGGACACAGUCCUGAGUUUACUUCAGGACACCACGUCUCUGAGAUCAGGACUGUCCUGAGGGUGCAGCUUGUUAAGCACCAACAGCAACCUAAGAAGAAUUCUAUCAUGCUGUCCCAGAUGAAGAGACAGAGGUCGGAGUGACAUGUACCAUUCAGCUGUGCAGAAGAAUCGAAUUCAACGUACCUGGAUCCAGAAAGUCUCAGAGGUUUUUCUGUCCCAUAACCUUGCCUGAGCCACCUAAAGUACUUUAACAAAUAGCAAUGUGGGUUAUAUAUCACUAGCAAAGGAUUCUCAACUUUUCUUAAAAUGAAUGUACCCUGAAGGAGACAUUUUGGACCUUUGUUUUCCGAGUCACCACCCCACGACACUUUAAUCUCACAGAUGUACUGUCUGCUCAUGUACCAGCGGUAUCCUCGCACUUCAAACAUAGACGGUGUAAGACUCACCCCCUCCACCAAGAACCGAUUUUAACUCUGGUAGGGGUGAUGUUCCUCCCCCCUUGAAAACAUGCUCUGGACUCAGUCACAAAUACUUUCUGA
Long non-coding RNA from Tupaia belangeri chinensis (Chinese tree shrew), 869 nucleotides. RefSeq lists it as uncharacterized. The record is from RefSeq and is a predicted model, not a curated record. NCBI's taxonomy places the organism in Eukaryota, Metazoa, Chordata, Mammalia, Scandentia, Tupaiidae. The transcript is spliced from 3 exons.